AUUUCCAUUUCUUCGGCUCAUGGCUAAUUGUAGUACUUGUAAUUAAUAUGAUUUCUUUUCUUCUUUCUUUUGAAUAAUAAUCAAUCUCCCCUGUCUGAAAACAAAAGCCCCAAAAAUAACAAUAAAUAACAUUAAAAAAGGAGUUCAACUAAUAUGACAACGUAAAGAAAUUUUUACUUUUUAUAGCAAGUAUGGAUUGAUAACCAACAAAACACAGUAAACAAGUGUAAUCCGGUGCACUCAGCUCUCGCUAUGCGCAGAGUUUGAAAAAGGCCAGACCACAAGGGUCAAUUGUACGCAGUCUUACACUGCAUUUCUGCAGGAGGCUGUUUUCAUGGCUUGAACCUCUGACCUCCUGGUCACACGGCAUCAACUUUACCAGUUACGCCAAGGCUCCUCUUCCAACAAACCACGGUAAAUGAUCAAUUAAAACAGGUAAAAUUAUACUGAUAGUGUAAAAAUGAUAUUAAAAAACGAUUAGUAUUUUUUACGUGAUCAUCAGAAGAACUUGUAUUACCUUAAGAUUGAGGAAUUUUUGCCACCUAAAGGAAGUGAUGAGGAAAGCUAGCUCUUCUAAUUCAAAGGUGGAGUAAGGGUGGUAGUGAUUGAAGAAAGGAAGGGGGUAGCCGGAAGGUUACGGCGGAGAUCGGCGGCGCACCAAGGGAAGUAACCGGAACCACCGGCAGCACGGCCAAACUACUAAGAUGAACAAGUUGAACUUGUUGUGGUCCUAGUUGAUGAUCUUGGACUUGUAAAGCCAUAUUAUAUAAUGGGAACUAUAGAGUGGAGAGAUGGGAUUGCUUUAAA
Molecule: long non-coding RNA, 807 nt
Filed under: Nicotiana tabacum (common tobacco)
Lineage: Eukaryota; Viridiplantae; Streptophyta; Magnoliopsida; Solanales; Solanaceae
Description: long non-coding RNA (NTAB_LNC010183)
Source: RNAcentral